CGGUUGCUACUUUUAACAAACUGCGAUCAGCGCCCAUUAUCAACCUCGGACCGCCAUAUGGUAUCCACGAACGCAUAAGAGGUUGGUGUUGCCAUAGUAGCAAGGUUGGUAAGAAGUUACAACCUCCUGAGGUGAUGUAGGUUAACUCCACCUCGCCUGAAAACUCUUAUAUAAAUAUUUAUGUGCACAAAAUAACCUUUUUUUUAAUUGUUUACAAGCUUUAUCAGCAAGGAAGCAUGGUUUUGUGAUGCAUAAAGUGAAAUCUUGCAUGGAACACUGAAAACAAAUGAAGAGGCUGAUUUGUCCCACACGUGCGCACUCCCCCCAUUCCCCCGCCCACCAACAAGUGUGUACUGUGAUUACGUAUUGUUUUCGUCGUUUCUUGUGCAUAUAUUGGAUAUUUUCUUAACAUACUACCACGUUCGUGCCUUGAGGCAAGAAAGGCGGUUUCAGGAUCGCCUUGACCCCUUGGCAUUGAGUGAUAAUGAGCUCAUGACCAAAUAUCGCUUCCCUCGGCUGACCUACUAAUCCUCUUGUUUGAGGAGAUGCAGCCUCAGCUGGAGAGAAGGACAAGGCAUAGCCAGGCAUUACCAACUCACACCCAGGUUUUGCUGGCCCAGAGACUGUUUGCCAGUGGGCCCUUCCAAAACGUCAUUGGAGACACUGCAGGACCUAUGCAAGCAAGUGUCAGCAGGGUCUUCAAGUGUGUGUGUGCACCGUGUUGAGUGAUAAUCGGUGCAGGAAAUCAAGAUGCCUCCAACACACCUUGAUCAAAGGAGAACUGCACACCAGUUCUUCAGGAUUAAAAAUUUCCUAAGGGUUAGUGGGACCAUUGAUGGCAGCCACAUUGCCAUGAAGGGCCAAAGUGUGGAUGAGGCCCUCUACUUUAACUGGAAAAGGUAUCACUCCCUCUGAACAUCCAACUUGUUUGUGAUGCAAGUGAAGUGAUCCUCAGCUACUGCUCCAGAUUGCCAGGUGCCUGCACUCUUGUGGAGGUGGCUUGCAGUACAGACCCAUCAAGUGUGUCAAAAUAAUUAAUGCUUGCCUGCUCCUACACAACUGCUGCAUCAAGUUCCUGAUGACCUACCACCUCUUGAGGAUGAAGCAGUGCCCCAUGCUGAUACCAACCCUGCUGUGCUGUAGAGGGGUCAGUGUGCUCCAGGCAGAAUUGUGUGGCAAGAAAUCAUACAAAACUUCUUCCAGCAAUGCAGUAAGGAAGUGAGAUUGUCAAAGUGCCUGGGACAUGUUUUGUACAGCCAGCUGCACCAUCACCAGCUCGUCCAAGCUCGGACUAAUCUGCUGUUGGGUUUCCUGUGCUUGAGAGAGAACUUCUGAGUGAGUCUGAGUGGCCACCUGCAGUACAGUUCAGAAGCAAACAUGACUUUACACCACAAGUUACAAAUUAAGUGGUAUUUUAAGUUACAUGUCAUGCUGUGUCCUUUUACCUCAUUUGCUCCUUGGACCUUUCUGCUAUACAGUACCCAGGCUGGUGGUGUGAUGCACUUAUGGAAUCAACACUUUAUAUGCCUCAGAGAUGUAUUCCUCAAAAAAAAUAAAUAAAUAUAAUAAAAAAAUAAAAUAAAAAAUUAGGUCAAAGUAGCAAGAACAACAGACUUAGUGGCAGGAGUUGUAUAAUCAGUGUUCAUUGUACUGGAGGACACAACUGAAUACAUGUUAACAUGUUAUUCACCAUUGCAUGUAGUCAUCUAUAAUGAGCAUAAUUUGAACAAAGAUGUUCUCAUCCAGUGCAGAUGAUACACCAUUGUCAAAUCCAGAGGCCCCUGUGGACCCAGCAACACCAGCAGUGGUGUUGGAUGGCUCCAACACCACUGCUGGUGGAAGACUGUGGUCCUAGAGGCCCUGACACUUCUGGAAAAAAAAAAAAAAAGCUGUCAUUACUGCAGGUAGAGAAUAAGCUGGUAUUCUUUGAGUGAUGUUUUUAUUGACAAAUUUUUCUUUUAAUUAGCAGUCAACCUAGUCAUGUCUGUGUUUAUCACAUGGUUUUGCUGAGUUGAUGAGCAAAUGUGCAGAUAUCUACAUUCAUGAAGAUGAGUGUUGGACAUGAUGCUGCCAGCCCCAUGGAAGAUGAUGCUGUAGCACAAUUAUUGUUACAUUACAGUACUGAACUUAAAAACAGCAUUAAUUUACAAAAUGUAAUUUGACCUUUGUUAGUUUACUUAUGCAGUGUGGUGCCAUCACUUUCAGGGUAUGGCAGUCCUGCAAAUGCUGUGUGAGACAACAUCCACAGCAUGACCAACUCCACAGUAGUGUGUGUUGUCUCAUCUGGAGGCCCCCACCUGCAUGGAUAUGAAUGUUGCAAUUAUCAUCCACUUAGAAGUUCACAUGUAAAGCCAAAUCAACUUGGUGUAAAUCAUGAAUGCAUUAGAGCACAAUAAUGUUAUCUAGCACUGCAGUGGUCACUGUCUCAGACCUGACUGCCAGAGGUACUGUACAUACUCCUAUUUAUAAUCCAUUGCUUAGUUGGUUCUUGGUUAUGUUUAUUGACUAUAUGGGUAAAUUUUGUACCAGCACCAAUAAUGAAAUACAACAUGUACACAAGAGCAAA
Molecule: long non-coding RNA, 2566 nt
Organism: Scylla paramamosain (green mud crab)
Lineage: Eukaryota; Metazoa; Arthropoda; Malacostraca; Decapoda; Portunidae
Exons: 7
Source: RefSeq, a predicted model, not a curated record